This 253-nucleotide ribosomal RNA is filed under the name uncultured bacterium. RNAcentral's name for it is "partial 16S ribosomal RNA". It matches the Rfam family "Bacterial small subunit ribosomal RNA", at positions 524 to 776 of the family's 1533-position model. The record is from RNAcentral.
UACGUAGGGUGCAAGCGUUGUCCGGAAUUAUUGGGCGUAAAGAGCUCGUAGGCGGUUCGUCGCGUCGGCUGUGAAAUCCCGGAGCUCAACUCCGGGUCUGCAGUCGAUACGGGCGGACUCGAGUUCGGCAGGGGAGACUGGAAUUCCUGGUGUAGCGGUGAAAUGCGCAGAUAUCAGGAGGAACACCGGUGGCGAAGGCGGGUCACUGGGCCGGUACUGACGCUGAGGAGCGAAAGCGUGGGGAGCGAACAGG